This 999-nucleotide ribosomal RNA is filed under the name Providencia rettgeri. RNAcentral describes it as "partial 23S ribosomal RNA". The record is from RNAcentral. Lineage: Bacteria; Pseudomonadati; Pseudomonadota; Gammaproteobacteria; Enterobacterales; Morganellaceae.
GGCCGUAACUAUAACGGUCCUAAGGUAGCGAAAUUCCUUGUCGGGUAAGUUCCGACCUGCACGAAUGGCGUAAUGAUGGCCAGGCUGUCUCCACCCGAGACUCAGUGAAAUUGAACUCGCUGUGAAGAUGCAGUGUACCCGCGGCAAGACGGAAAGACCCCGUGAACCUUUACUAUAGCUUGACACUGAACAUUGAGCCUUGAUGUGUAGGAUAGGUGGGAGGCUUYGAAGCGUGGACGCCAGUCUGCGUGGAGCCAACCUUGAAAUACCACCCUUUAAUGUUUGAUGUUCUAACGUUGCCCCAUUAUCUGGGGUGCGGACAGUGUCUGGUGGGUAGUUUGACUGGGGCGGUCUCCUCCCAAAGAGUAACGGAGGAGCACGAAGGUUGGCUAAGCAUGGUCGGACAUCAUGCGGUUAGUGCAAAGGCAUAAGCCAGCUUGACUGCGAGAGUGACGGCUCGAGCAGGUACGAAAGUAGGUCUUAGUGAUCCGGUGGUUCUGAAUGGAAGGGCCAUCGCUCAACGGAUAAAAGGUACUCCGGGGAUAACAGGCUGAUACCGCCCAAGAGUUCAUAUCGACGGCGGUGUUUGGCACCUCGAUGUCGGCUCAUCACAUCCUGGGGCUGAAGUAGGUCCCAAGGGUACGGCUGUUCGCCGUUUAAAGUGGUACGCGAGCUGGGUUUAGAACGUCGUGAGACAGUUCGGUCCCUAUCUGCCGUGGGCGUUGGAAGAUUGAAAGGGGCUGCUCCUAGUACGAGAGGACCGGAGUGGACGCACCACUGGUGUUCGGGUUGUCAUGCCAAUGGCAUUGCCCGGUAGCUAAGUGCGGAAGAGAUAACCGCUGAAAGCAUCUAAGCGGGAAACUUGCCUUGAGAUGAGUCUUCCCUGACUCUUUAAGGGUCCUAAAGGAACGUUUAAGACUAAGACGUUGAUAGGUUGGGUGUGUAAGCGUAGCGAUACGUUGAGCUAACCAAUACUAAUGAACCGUGAGGCUUAACCUG